RNAcentral lists this ribosomal RNA (253 nucleotides) under uncultured bacterium. Its description in RNAcentral is "partial 16S ribosomal RNA". It matches the Rfam family "Bacterial small subunit ribosomal RNA", at positions 524 to 776 of the family's 1533-position model. The record is from RNAcentral.
UACAGAGGGUGCAAGCGUUAAUCGGAAUUACUGGGCGUAAAGCGUGCGUAGUCGGUUAUCUAAGUCGGAUGUGAAAUCCCCGGGCUCAACCUGGGAAUUGCAUUCUAUACUGGAUAGCUAGAGUUCGGCAGAGGGAAGUGGAAUUUCGGGUGUAGCGGUGAAAUGCGUAGAUAUCCGAAGGAACAUCAGUGGCGAAAGCGACUUCCUGGACCAGAACUGACGAUCAGGCACGAAAGCGUGGGGAGCAAACAGG